GCUAAAGCUUUACACGUAAGCAAAGCAAAACAAGGAAUUAAUUCACUGCUUCCCAUGGGCAGGCAGGUGUUCAGCCAUCUCCGGGAGAGCAGGGACCCAUCACACCUAGUGGUGAUUUGGGAAGACAAUCGCCAUCA
Molecule: long non-coding RNA, 137 nt
Organism: Neopelma chrysocephalum (saffron-crested tyrant-manakin)
Lineage: Eukaryota; Metazoa; Chordata; Aves; Passeriformes; Pipridae
Exons: 3
Source: RefSeq, a predicted model, not a curated record